RNAcentral lists this long non-coding RNA (533 nucleotides) under Fukomys damarensis (Damara mole-rat). RNAcentral describes it as "lncRNA (ENSFDAG00000022829.1)". The record is from RNAcentral. Lineage: Eukaryota; Metazoa; Chordata; Mammalia; Rodentia; Bathyergidae.
CGCCCCCUGGCGGCAAUCCUGAAGGACGGCGCCCGCGGUCCACGGGCCCCUGCAGUGUUCCAAACUGUUGAGAAAAGAACGACUCCAUCCUUCUUGGCUCCGGAAGCCUCCAACUGUCCACCCUCUCUGGGCCAUGGCAAAGGCAGUCGGAAAAAGCAAAAAUGAAAGCCGAGAUAGGCUAGAGCUCAAGCCUUCUGUACACAACUUGAAAAAAACGAAGCAGACCAAACUCACAGUGGGCAGCCUGGGACUGGGCCUGAUCGUCAUCCAACAUGGGCCCUACCUCCAGAUUAUCCACCUCAUCAAGAAGGGGGCUGCAGCCCAGGACGGGAAAUUCCAACCAGGUGAUGUUCUGAUUAGUGUCGGUCAUGCCAAUGUGCUAGGUUAUACACUUCGGGAAUUGUUAAAGCUUUUGCAACACAUCACCAUACAGUGCUACAAAUUAAGGUGUACCGAGAUUUUAUCGACAUACCCCAAGAAUGGCAAGAAAUAUAUGAUUUAAAUCCUGAGAUAAAACCCCCGGUAACAUUUAG